GAUGAAGAACGUAGCGAAAUGCGAUAAGUAAUGCGAAUUGCAGAAUUCAGUGAGUCAUCGAAUCUUUGAACGCACAUUGCGCCCUGUGGUAUUCCGCAGGGCAUGCCUGUUCGAGCGUCAUUUCAACCCUCAAGCUCUGCUUGGUGUUGGGCCCUGCCCGCUGCGGCCGGCCCUAAAAACAGUGGCGGUGCCGCCUGGCCCUGAGCGUAGUACAUCUCUCGCUCCAGUGCCCGGUGGUAGCCUGCCAGAACCCCAACUCUCGUGGUUGACCUCGGAUCAGGUAGGGAUACCCGCUGAACUUAAGCAUAUCAAUAAGCGGAGGA
RNAcentral lists this unclassified non-coding RNA (323 nucleotides) under soil metagenome. Its description in RNAcentral is "partial contains 5.8S ribosomal RNA, internal transcribed spacer 2, and large subunit ribosomal RNA". The stretch from base 1 to 120 matches the Rfam family "5.8S ribosomal RNA", at positions 35 to 154 of the family's 154-position model. The record is from RNAcentral.